AUUCCAAUCGAACCCGGAGAUAGCUGGUUCUCCCCGAAAUAGCUUUAGGGCUAGCGUCGAGGUAGAGAGUUGCGUGAAGGUAGAGCACUGAAUAUGUGAUGGCCCCAUCUCGGGGUACUGAGCAUAAUCAAACUGCGAAUGUCACGGAAACAUACUCGGCAGUCAGACAGCGGGUGAUAAGGUCCGUUGUCAAGAGGGAAACAGCCCAGACCAUCAGCUAAGGUCCCAAAAUGUAUGCUAAGUGGAAAAGGAUGUGGAGAUGUACAGACAACUAGGAGGUUGGCUCAGAAGCAGCCAUCCUUUAAAGAGUGCGUAACAGCUCACUAGUCGAAUGACUCUGCGCCGAUAAUUUACCGGGGCUAAGCAUACUACCGAAGCUAUGGAUCCCAAGGGAUGGUAGGGGAGCGUUCCAUGAACGGAGAAGCGCGAUCGAGAGGACGCGUGGAGAUCAUGGAAGAGAGAAUGCCGGUGUGAGUAGCGGAACGUGGGUGAGAAUCCCACGCACCGAAAACCCAAGGUUUCCAGAGGAAGGUUCGUCCGCUCUGGGUAAGUCGGGACCUAAGGCGAGGCCGAGAGGCGUAGUCGAUGGACAACAGGUAGAGAUUCCUGUACUCAUAUAUAUGUGAAGGAAUGACGGAGAGAGGAAGCUGCAGCCAGCGGCUGGAAGAGCUGGUGCAAGCGAGAUAUCGGGAUGGCAGGCAAAUCCACCAUCCGAAACGAGAAGGCGUGAAGCGUACGGAAAGCUACGGCGAGUACGGAAGGCAGUGGAGGAACUUCCAAGAAAAGUUUCUAACGAAAGUAUAUGUGACCCGUACCGAAAAUGGACACACAUGGGUGAGGAGAGAAUCCUAAGGUGAGCGAGAGAACUAUAGCUAAGGAACUCUGCAAAAUGACUCCGUAACUUAGGGAGAAGGAGUGCUCAUAGAGAUAUGAGCCGCAGUGAAACGGCCCAAGCGACUGUUUACCAAAAACACAGCUCUCUGCUAAGCCGCAAGGCGAAGUAUAGGGGGUGACGCCUGCCCGGUGCUGGAAGGUUAAGGGGAGGGGUUAACGCAAGUGAAGCCCUGAACUGAAGCCCCAGUAAACGGCGGCCGUAACUAUAACGGUCCUAAGGUAGCGAAAUUCCUUGUCAGGU
RNAcentral lists this ribosomal RNA (1135 nucleotides) under human gut metagenome. RNAcentral describes it as "bacterial LSU rRNA". It matches the Rfam family "Bacterial large subunit ribosomal RNA", at positions 826 to 1977 of the family's 2925-position model. The record is from RNAcentral.